RNAcentral lists this ribosomal RNA (520 nucleotides) under uncultured Diversispora. RNAcentral describes it as "SSU rRNA". It matches the Rfam family "Eukaryotic small subunit ribosomal RNA", at positions 569 to 1085 of the family's 1831-position model. The record is from RNAcentral. Lineage: Eukaryota; Fungi; Glomeromycota; Glomeromycetes; Diversisporales; Diversisporaceae.
AGCAGCCGCGGUAAUUCCAGCUCCAAUAGCGUAUAUUAAAGUUGUUGCAGUUAAAAAGCUCGUAGUUGAACUUCGGGGUUUACUCAUUGGUCAGGCUUAAUUGUCUGUACUGGUGAGAUGAAUCUCUACCUUCUGAGGAACUUUCAUGCCAUUUAUUUGGUGUGAUUGGAAAUCAGGACUGUUACUUUGAAAAAAUUAGAGUGUUUAAAGCAGGCCAACGUCUGAAUACAUUAGCAUGGAAUAAUGAAAUAGGACGGAUUGAUUCUAUUUCGUUGGUUUCUAGGGUCACCGUAAUGAUUAAUAGGGAUAGUUGGGGGCAUUAGUAUUCAAUUGUCAGAGGUGAAAUUCUUGGAUUUAUUGAAGACUAACUACUGCGAAAGCAUUUGCCAAGGAUGUUUUCUAUUAAUCAAAGAACGAAAGUUAGGGGAUCGAAGACGAUCAGAUACCGUCGUAGUCUUAACCAUAAACUAUGCCGACUAGGGAUCGGAUGAUGUUAAUUUUUUAAUGUACUCAUUCGGUC